RNAcentral lists this ribosomal RNA (464 nucleotides) under Vreelandella stevensii. Its description in RNAcentral is "partial 16S ribosomal RNA". It matches the Rfam family "Bacterial small subunit ribosomal RNA", at positions 338 to 795 of the family's 1533-position model. The record is from RNAcentral. Lineage: Bacteria; Pseudomonadati; Pseudomonadota; Gammaproteobacteria; Oceanospirillales; Halomonadaceae.
CCUACGGGAGGCAGCAGUGGGGAAUAUUGGACAAUGGGGGCAACCCUGAUCCAGCCAUGCCGCGUGUGUGAAGAAGGCCCUCGGGUUGUAAGCACUUUCAGUGAGGAAGAACGCCUGGUGGUUAAUACCCAUCAGGAAAGACAUCACUCACAGAAGAAGCACCGGCUAACUCCGUGCCAGCAGCCGCGGUAAUACGGAGGGUGCGAGCGUUAAUCGGAAUUACUGGGCGUAAAGCGCGCGUAGGUGGCUUGAUAAGCCGGUUGUGAAAGCCCCGGGCUCAACCUGGGAACGGCAUCCGGAACUGUCAAGCUAGAGUGCAGGAGAGGAAGGUAGAAUUCCCGGUGUAGCGGUGAAAUGCGUAGAGAUCGGGAGGAAUACCAGUGGCGAAGGCGGCCUUCUGGACUGACACUGACACUGAGGUGCGAAAGCGUGGGUAGCAAACAGGAUUAGAUACCCUAGUAGUC